Falco peregrinus (peregrine falcon) is the source of this 6014-nucleotide long non-coding RNA. RefSeq lists it as uncharacterized. NCBI's taxonomy places the organism in Eukaryota, Metazoa, Chordata, Aves, Falconiformes, Falconidae. The transcript has 6 exons. The record is from RefSeq and is a predicted model, not a curated record.
UCAUUUCUCAUCAUUAAUAUCUUCCUAAGUCUGAAGCCCUGCGUGGGGAUGUAGGUGUCAAGGCAAGUGUGGCCAUGGGAUGAGCAGCUGAUCAUUGAUCAGAUCACCAAAGUGCAGACAUGCUUUGUAUCCUGCAAAAAGUGAAGUUUAACUAGCUGAACGCAAGCACAACGACCCCAACUGUGUGACUGCCUGUCCCACCUGGCUUCCUUCCAUGGCCCACCUUGCCACUGGGCUCUUACUUAAAGGCAGUUUGCACUUGGUUGCAAAAUUGAUUAUUACGAAAGUCUAAUGUCUGGGGGCUGCUUCUUGAGCCAGAAAAGGUCAAUAAACAGAAGUGUCAGCAUCCCACUGAUGGGCAAAGAAUCUUCGUCCUAGGGCUGGGACAGGGCAUAUGACUUUAAUGAUACAGAAACCUGGCAGCUAAAAAGUUAUCUAUGAGACAAAACAAAAACAAUGAGUUUGGAAGAGGAUGGUUUACAACUGAAAAAAAGAAAAUGUUAGUUUUCAUUCUGCUCCAUUCAGAAUGGAAAUACUGUUCCGUGGAGCAUAUUACAGUUAUGACUAUUAUUGUAUUGCUUCACUUAGGAGGCAUGUGGAAAUAAUUUUUGCUUAUAUUCAGUGUUUACACCAGCAAGAAACAAUACAGGUUGUGUUCUCUCCUUGCAAAACUGUGAGUAGUGGCAAGUGGAGAAGGAACAAGAAGAAACUUCUUACAAAUGGCAGUUAGCAAGAGGAGGAGAUGGUGUAGCAGAACAAUUCAGGAUUUUUAUUUGAGUAGCUAACUUUAAAUGUGAAAGCCGCAAGUAACUUUUUAAAACAAAUGUUUGUUAAUUUUAUUAAUUUUCUUAAUAGAGGUUUUGCUGUGUUUGCCCUUUCUCAACCAUCUGUUGUAGUUGCUGAGUACCCCUUGGCUACACUGCAGCCUGCCAAGAUGUGCUGAUGCGACAGGCUCCUGAAGGGGGUGAGGAGAGCAUGGCCACUGAUGUCCCAACGUGGGACUCAAAGCCCCCACUCCUGUGCCCACUUGCAGUGGGGUUUGCUCUGCACGGCUGUGAGAUCUCUCUGCAGACCUUUGUGACUUGGGCGGAGGACCCUGCAUAUGGUCAGGUCCUCUCACAGCACCUUAACCUGCUGUGCCUUGCCCUUGCUGCACCCGUCUCCCUGCUCCAAUCCUUCCCUUGUUACUCCAUUAAAAAGUGUUGGUGUUUCAGAUGAAAUGGAUUUCAAAGGGAUAUUUGACAGAGGAAAGUACCUAACCUGGAGAAGUGAGGAGAACUGAUUGGAUGAAGGAGGCACUGACAGCAUUAAGGAGCUAUUGACCUGUCUGAUGCUGCUCCUGAAGGGCUUGAAAACGUGAAUGCGGCGAUGCCCUGUGUCCACCCGACCCUACCUUGGGACAGCCGCUACCCCAUGUCCACAGCAACAGCCCAAAGGACGGACAGAGAGGAGGAGUGGAACACUGGAUUGUGUUGAGAGGUUACAGCCUGUGUCAGGGCCAGGGAGGGCUCUGAAGGGAUGGAGGAUGUGUGUGGAUGCGCAUGGGACAGUGUUUGUCCAGGCAGAGACCACAACCCCAGCAGAAGGAUGAGGUGUGUGGGCUCAACAGAACAACGCCAGGCUGUGAGCAUGGGAGUUCGAUCUGGUGGCUGGGAACCCAUCACAGCCUGGAUGUGAGGAGUCAAGCAUAUCGCUGUGGCACCAGCAAAGAGACCCCGAUGUAUUCAACCCGCUGGUCAUGCUGGUGCCACUGGGUUUCCCAGGGAUUCCCAGUUCACGGAUCUGUGGGGAACGCUGAGCCUGGGGCAGGACUGCCAACGAGGCCAUGGCGCUGGAAGAGCUACGUGGGGACUGGUGCUCACUUGAGGUCACCGCUCAUUUUCCAUCACUGGAAUUCAAGAGACUUUGUGUCAUGUUGUGAAUACAACAUGCUUGACAGCAUACCUGCCGGGGAAAAUAUCUUCUGUGAUGGAGCCAGCCUUAUCCGAAAGCAGUCAUUUCCAGUGGGCAGUGGAGCUGGGAAGGGGAUGGGGCAGCCCUCACUGGAGCUGCUGCUGGACAGCCUCAACAGGGACAGACAGCUCAAAGGAGACUGUGGUCUUUGCACCAAGGAGCAGCCGUAGACUCUAGAUCUGCUGCUGGGACCGAGUGAGGACCACCACUGGGUCCACUCUGGAGCGGUGUCCAGGGGCCUUUGGCUGGAAAUGCUGGGGGAGCCUGCAGCAGGCAGUGGCCCAGCAGGUACAGAGCCCUUUCCUGGAGCUGCCCACGGCACGGCUGGAAAUCAGCUCCAAGUGCCACAUCCAUCAUGCCCAAAUUGUUCAGCAACCUCCAGGACAGCAUGAGCAGCAAGUAGCAUCUGUUCCUCCCUGCCAGAGCCACGAUGAUGGACUGCCAAGAAUGGAGCUCCCUCCUAACUUCUUGCUGUCUGGAAGCCAAGAACUUCAAGCUGAUCAAAGAAACAAACACUUUUAAUGAAACAUAUGCAAGAUACUUAGAAGGAGAAGAUUCACAAUGCAUCUGCUGCGGGACCAGAAGGCUUAUCAAAAGUGUGAAGUAGGAGGAGAAAAAUUACGAGUGUAUGAUGCCAGAGAAGAUUACAGAAAUAUUAAGCAGAAGGAAUGUAAACACGUAUAGCUGGUGAUGGCUGGUGCGUGGCUCGCCGCGCACAAAGAGCCUCUGCAGUGUCGGUCUGAGGAUGCUCUCGCCGUUGUGUGCAAGCAGUCCACCGCAGUCCAGCCAGGCACCCCUGCAGCAAACCAUGCACCUGCAUGCCCAGCCCUCGCCCUGGUUGGGCGCCAGGCCCUGGGGAUCAGGCAGGGCUGGCCAUGGCUGUGACCACAUCUCAGAGCACAGCCCCCCUCCCCCGGAGCCCCUCUCUUGCUGUCUGGCUCCAACUCGAUGCCGAGACAUCGGCAGAGUGCCCACCGUGCCAUCCAGUUCAACUGUCUUUAGAGCCGAUGAACAUUGCAGUGGCAAUUUAUUUGCAUUUUCUUUAUGAAACAAAAACUUAAAUGUAAUAUCCAUUUUCUUGCAAUGUGUUUUAUUGAAAACAUAAAUACUGUGAAAAACUGUAAUUUCUGGUGAUAAUACAGUAGUUUACUAUCAGUGGGAAUAUCACAUCAUUAUUUCUGUUCCGCAUUCAGGAGUGUGCAGACAUAUGGCUUAUCUAUUUCAGCCACUGGCCAAAUUCUGCUCUCUCUUAACCCUUGCACCCUCGGUGAAUUCAGCGAGGCUGCACAGUGAUAGCUAGCAGCAGGAUCUAGAGCUCUUAUUUCUUGUUAAAUGAAAAUUUUUCAUUUUCAAAGCUGCUUUCCUGUCCCCCCACACACUGACUGCAGUUCUUGCUGUGUGUUACAGUUUUGCUUCUCCCUCCACAGUGCUGGCAGUUGUCUGCAAUGGCCUUUCUCCUCCGAUCAGUGCCACCACCACCUCUGCUAUGAGGCAGCACUGGGGGGUCCUAGGAGGGGUGUCUGCCCUCUCCUCGGGCUGCAGGUGCUUUUUCAGGGGGAGCCCAGCAGGGGCAGGGCGCAGUGCCCACCGGGUGUGGGAAGAUGACUGCUCGGAGCUCUGCUCCACUGUGGGGAUGGCCAGCAGCAUUUCUAGGGGCUGAGCCACGGAGGCUCAAACAGCAGGAGAACAGUUACAAAUAGAUCUCCUCUCCAAAGGGCAGUUCAGCAGCCUCUGGAGUUUUAAGCCAGUCUUGUGGCUUCUGGAGAAAAAAAACAUUUUGCAGCUUAAGUGCAUCUCUGAGGAAGAAACACGUUUGCUGUGCUGGCCAGAGGGUGCUGUGGGCACCAUCCUGGGUCCCUCUCCUUCCACUUGCUCCCUGGUGAUGGCAGCUGGGGCUGCUCAUAGCAUUGCUGCUCUUUGCAAGAGCACGGGGAGACCCUGUAAAGGGCUGGGCCAGCAGUGCAUUCAGUUUAGUAACCUGCCUCUGACAAUGGCUGACGCUGCUACAGCGUGAGAGGUGGGCGAGCAGGCGGCGGUGCUCCCCCCAGGGCUGCCCACAUCCAGCAGCCAAGACCUGGGGCUUCCUGAGACUGAGGGGAUGGCUGUGUGCUGUGAUGCUCUGCCUUGCUCUGCCCUGUGUCCUUUCCAGUGUCCUAUGCCAGUGCCUGGCCCUCCUGGCACCGGGGCUGAAGGGGUCUCGUUCCCCACUGUGGACCGUGCUUGCAAGCUACAGCCCCUCUGGGUGAGGGAGCUGCUCCAGGAUGGCUGAGCCAGCGCUGACUGGCAUUGAUGUGGCCUCGCAGCCUUGUACGGUGAUUUGUCGAUCCUAAAACUGCUGCGGACCCCCCAGCGCAGGUCAGCCCUGCUUCCUGGCAUCUUCUUCCAGGGGCAGUUGUGCCUGGGGCUGCUGGAGGGCUGGCGCGGCUCCCCAUGUAUGCGGGUCCUGCCCCACACAGCUGAACUGCAACGUGGGGCUGCUCGCACUUCACUGAUAAUAAUCCUCUCUAUCAAACAGUAACUCAAUUUAGUCUUUUCUCUUUAAUAUUUAUGUGCUGACCUAGCAGUCUGAUGAAUCUCGUAGGCAGCAUUCUAUCUGGGUACUAGCAAAUGAUCAACCAUCACAGUCAGUCAGGACCGACUCCUGUCUCUGUUGCUGUUGUUUCCCAUCACUUUUCCUAACACCAUCUCAGGAAAAUGCAUGGUUUUCCCCCACCCAGGAAGGCUGAUGCUCCAGUUUCCCGCUUGGUAUCACCCUGCAGGUGGGUCAGGGGUGAGUCAAGGGGACGUGGCAGGUCCCGGCUGCCAGGUCAGUUUUGCCUGAGGUUCCCAGCCGCAAAGGAUCCACCAGCACGUGUCAAGGUGGCCAGGAGGCAGGUUUAAUGUUUGCUCCUGACCUUUCCGAUCACUCUGCAUCUGCGAGGCUGCCUGGGCACCCUGGAGGGAUGGGUGCCCUCGAUUUGCCCUGUUUGGGAGAUGAAGCCCCUGCUGCUGCUUGUCUCCUGCAUCUCCUGGACUAGAGAAGGGAAGGAAGAAGCAGCAGCCUCUGCCACACACAGCAGGGCAGGCAGCAUGGCCACUGUCACCUCCUUCAAAACAUCUGGCAGGUGUCCAAAGGAAUGAAAUGGAAUGGAACAGAAUGGAAUGAAAUGGAAUAAAUAGACUCUUUCGGCUGGAAGGGACCCACAACGGUGGUCUAGCCCAACUGCCUGGCCCCUCCAGGGCUGACCAAAAGUUAAAGCACUCUGUCAAGGGCAUUGUCCAAAUAUCUCUUAAACGCUGACAGGUGUGGGGCAUGGACCACCUCUCCGGGAAGCCUGUCCCAGGGUUCGAGCACCCUCUUGUUAAAGAAAUGCUUCUUCACGUCCAAUCUGGGAGGUUCAGGUUUUCAAGGAAGGUUGCCACCCUGCUGUCCACGGGCCAGCAGUGGUCUGAGGAGCAGAAGCUGGGGACAUGCUGGGGGCAGGCGGGCAGGUGCCCCCAGUUCCCAGCUGUUAGAUAUGACUGGCAGGAGCCAGGCCGCCGUCCAGCAUGGCUUGGCUAGUGCAGACCCCAGUCCUGUUGCCACGGUGGCAAGACUGCACUUUCCCGUGCCCAUGCGAGUGGGAUGACUGGUAAGGCAAGCUAGAUCACACCCCACUUGACCACAAGUAUUUCACAGGGGUUCUUACCUGCUAUUUCCAAGCAGUUAUUCUGGUUUUGCUACACGAUUACUGAAGGAGCACUUCCAAACUCCAUGUUCAGGUAGAGAGCAGUGUCUGCUUUGGAAUAGCUCAAGUAUUCCUUAUAAAUGCACUUUUUAUUGUGGUUUAUAACUAGCUGUCAUGGUGACAUGCAAAGCUGAAGUAUUAUGUACCUCUCAGCACAGUGUUGCUUGUUGGAGAAGGAGCCCUAGCAAAGUCAGAUUUCUUUGCAGUUUUAAAGAUUUGUAAAAGCAAGCUGGAAACAAAAAUAAAUUAAGGCAUGCAAAUAAAAUUCUUUCCAAAACAUCCAUGCUCAAGUGUUUUUGUUUUUUUUUAAAGCAUCUGGCAAGCCUUUCUUCAAAUUUAUUUUAGCUAAAUGCA